This 649-nucleotide long non-coding RNA is filed under the name Capra hircus (goat). RNAcentral's name for it is "lncRNA (ENSCHIG00010028835.1)". Lineage: Eukaryota; Metazoa; Chordata; Mammalia; Artiodactyla; Bovidae. The record is from RNAcentral.
CCGGUGGCAGGUAUGGAACCUAUAGGGGGGCCUGUCACCCGGCACGUGCGCCGGGGGCCGGCCGGGCGGGAGGGGAGGAAGGCCGGCGGGCCGGCAGGGGGCCGACCCCGACCCCGACCCCGACCCGACCCGACCAGAUCCGCCCCGGAGCCCGGGCCUGGCCGGCUGGGCCUCGCUCCCAGCGCCCCUGGCAGGGCUGCCUCGGCGAGGAGUACCACCCGUGGGCGUCCCUGGUGGCUCAGUGGUAAAGAAUCUACCUGCCAGUGCAAGAGACCCGGAUUUGAUCUCUGGGUUGCAAAGACCCCCUGAAGAAGGAAAUGGCAACCCACCCCAGUAUUCCUGCCUGGGCAGUCCCAUGAACAGCGGAGCCUGGUGGGCUACAGUCCAUGGGGUCCGCAGAGAGUUGGACCCUACUUAGCAACUAAAACAUCAGCAAGUAUCACCUGUACCUCUCAGGGAGAAGAACACUGAAAUCCAUAAGGACCAGAUUAGCUUUAUCUAAUAUUUUUGUUCAGGGGCUUUUGAUUCUGAAUUUAUGUCACCCAUGGGCAUCUUUAUUUUCUGGUAGGAAGUGGGCCUCUCUUUACUCCUGUCUCGGGGAAAGAACCUUGUGAGGCAGAUGAUAAACCCUAGAAAGGUACAGUUAACA